AUUGUAUUAUAACAUUCCAAGCCUCCCUUCGAUGGAGAGGACGAAGAGGAAUUAUUCGCUUCGAUUACAGAUCAGAACGUUUCUUAUCCAAAGUUUCUGUCAAAAGAAGCCAAAGAUAUUUGUAAAAGAUUUUUAACUAAAAACCCAUCAAAAAGGCUGGGAUGUGGACCUUCUGGAGAGGAGGAUGUCCGGAAUCACCCAUUCUUCAGAAGAGUAGACUGGCAGAAGAUUGAAAAUAAAGAAGUUCAACCUCCAUUUAAACCUAAGAUUAAAAAUCCCAAGGCCGCGGAGAAUUUUGAUCCCGUCUUUACAAACUCCAAAAUCACCUUGACCCCUGCCGACACUGUGGUCAUCAACAACCUGACAGGCAGCGAGUUUGAAGGCUUUACCUUUGUUAACCCUUACUUCCUAAAACAUCAGUAAUAUUACUACCUUUUUAUCUAAGUCUUGAAUCGUUCCAUAUGUGAUAUAUUUACAUACAUAUUAUAAAUACAUAUAUAUAUAUUUACAACUUUUUUUCCAAUUUUCCUAUGUCACUUUAUUCUUGGUAACGUUUGACUCUAAGAAAAUAUUAAUAUUGAUGUUGUUUCAACAUUCAACCAGAACUACAGUUUUUCAUUAAACUCAAUUACGUUUGCCUUGUAUGCCCUAAUCUAGUCCAAGGCUUAAUUAACGUUUCCCUCUAAGUAUGAGUAGCUGUUUAUUGUCCUGUGUUGACAUCUGUUGUUAGUUAGGGAUCGUCCAUAAAGUAUGUACGCAAAAUUUCAGGUUUUUAAACAACAACUUACCCCCCCAUGUACGAGUUGGUGAUAUUUUAUCAUAACUUCAAAGGAAUAACGGAGGAUUAACUUGAUGUUUACAUGAAAAAAAACAUCUUGCACUAUAUGUUUAUCAAACGAAUAACUUUAUUAACAGUAACAGUCAGGUAAAUUUAUUAACAUGCAAGUGCCAGUUUACAUAUUUCAAAAUUCACACAUCAUUAGCCCACACAGAAGACGGGGUAUCGGAGAUAUCCCUCUACACUGGCCUCAUUCAGCUUGCUGUGGACUCGUUGCUAACGGUCUGGCACUGGUUCCAUUUCUUCCUCCUCAUCUGACAAGUAGAGUCUGUUUGUGGACUGACUUGUGCCAGGUGAUUGCAGCUUGUGGCUUGUACUACAUGUGUUGCACACUCUUUUACCAACAGCAUCCUUCACUUGAACCUUAUAGAUCAUAUGUCACUUCUUCAUACUUCUUGGCAACUGAUUUUUCAAGAUGGCUACCUGGUGGCCAUAUUGUUCCUCUAAUUGCCAAAACGUUUUAGGGCAACAUAGUUGAGCAUACCCACAAACCAUAUAUAUAGCUGAGCCUCUAGUGUCCCGCAGGUUACUGUAGAAUUCGAAGAAGAUUGCUCAAAAAUGUAAACAUGAUGCUACAGUGCUAACGUCAUCCUGUAAAGAUGGCGGCAAGGCAGCCAUAUUGAAUUUUGAACGCGCCACUAAAAUUAAGGAUGCAAUGAAUGGACGAUGUUUUCUUGCCUUGGUAUAAAAUGCGAAGGAAAUAGGACGUGAAAUGUGGGUUGCAAAGACCCUGGCGGACAUGCUCACGAAGAGAGGGAAGAAGUUAUACUACAUGCUUCUUCCUUUACAGAGAUAGCAAAAGGUACUAGUGGACACACUGUUUACACCAUUUUGAUGUCCCUCAUAUUACACAUAAGAAUCAACGUAUUACUAAUAUAAAAAAAUUAUAACGACAUGAUAUAUUUACACUUCGUUAAUUAAAUAUCCCCUUCAUUGUUUCAACGAUAAGCCUAAGGGCUUAUAACGCUAAAAAUUAGGUCUCAAUACCCGCGAUGGGCGGAGCACAAAUAGCCCAGUGUGAAGCUAUGUGCUUAACAACAAACAAACAAAAACUAUACGUAUAGGCUUCACAUGUCAACAAACCCCUUUACCCUGUACGUAUAGGCUUCACAUGUCAACAAACCCCUUUACCCUGUACGUAUAGGCUUCAAUUUUACACAACUCUUCCCUUUUCCCACUCCUGCAUACAUAUUUUAUGAAUGAUCCCUUAUGUAUAUUUUAUAUAUAUAUAUAUAUAUAAGGUGAAAAGUAGGUAAUUUAUUGUUACAAGAAUUCAGUUUUAAUACUAAUAUUAGUGUAUAAUUGCCAUUAAUAUUAAACGAUACUUAUAUGUCUGGUUACUGUUAUAAAAGUCCUUCAAUCUGUUGAUCUGAUCUGAUCGUUUUGAACAUUUAUAACCAAGUUUUUGAUAUACGGCAAUGUUAAAACACUGGUAAUAAUAUUUUACAUAUUAGACAAGUGACUUUUAUCAAAUGGGAAACAAAUAAAACGACGUGUUUAAAAUGAAAUGAUUGACAAAAUAGCAUAGAUUUGGUCAAAUGACUGGGUAAAAAUGUUUAACCGAAACAUUUCAACAGAAUAUUAGUUAUAUAUUAUUUCACUAGAUGGACGUAGCGUCGUAAAGAAAAAAAUUUUAGGUGUGGAGGUGAUUUUCAUUUUGUUUUUUGUUUCUGUUUUAGUUUAGUCAGGAUAUCACUUUCUGGGGGAUAUAUUUUGAGGAUUUUAUUUUUAAUACAAGGUAAUACUUUGAAAUUAUAUUGAUGUACAUAUUGUAUUUUCCUUUUAGUGAAUUUUUGUAAGUGUAUUUUAAAGUGAGAGUCCAGUAAUGUUUACGAGAUAUAUUUGACAACUUAAACAUCAGUUGUUCACAAAAAUAUGUUGCUGCAAGCCUUAGAUAAUAGAUUCUGUGAUGGUACGAAUGAAGUGUGUUUUUUAGAUUAUCAGCUUUAGUCUUUUUUUAAAUCAUAUUUUGAUUCUUUCAAUGUACAUGCAUGCAAAAGAAUUACAGCCCUAAUAAACUCACUCGCAUGAUUAAAUAUCGUCGUUUUCCCCACCCCUUUUCAAGCUGCUCUGACACAUUUGAUCAUUUGAAGAAAAUCUGUCACACUUCAAGCUGAAUGACCAACAUCUUAUUAUUUCAUAUAAUAUACUGUUUUUUUUUCGUGAUUAUUUUCAGUACAGACAUGAUGCGUGUGUCGAGCAUGUGUGGUUCCUGUUAGUAAUUUAAGUAUCACAUAAAACACACACAGUCUUUGUUUUCCUGGAAGUAUCAUCACCAUUUGCAUUGGAUCUUGUGAGCAUUGGGUUAGAUAUAUCCUAAAACAGGAUAUUUCUGUUUUUUUUCGAAAAAGUAAUAUUUAACGUUGUUCUAUCUGCAAUUGUGUGUGAUAAAAACGUUUAGCAAAAAAUUUUUAAAGUAUCAAUAGUUUUCAAAACUUACUAGAUUAUAGCUUUUACAAAAACAAAGAAACACGUUUUUAAUGAAUAAAGCGGAGAGUGGGGGUCAGAUUUAUUGCUUUCUGUAUUCUUAAAUAUAAUGAAUAUUACUCUACCCUGUUUCUUACAUUAUUGUGGCAAUAUUAUCUUAUAGCUUCUUCACAAAUUAUCUGAAUAUCGGAUAUUUUUAUUUUGGGGUGGGAAGAUUAACGUAGAUUAAAGAUAACAGAUAACUAAAACAGACGAUUAAUGUUGUAGUUUUAAGGGCGUGUUUCUAUAGAAUCGAUGUUAGAUCCCAAUUAUUAAAAAUUAAACAAUAUAUUCAGCAACAACUUAUCAAGAAGUAGAGCAAUAAAAAUGUCUCAAACACAAAUUUACUAAAAUACAAAAUAAUCACUCUACUUUACCAUCUGCUAAUGACAUUUCCAGUUGAAAUAACUCUUCAGGUUCUUGAUAUAAUUUUUAGGGUAUACUUUGUUAUCUAGAACUAAGAUUAUAUUAAACAUAUUUCGUGCUUAGUUGAAAAAAAGUAAUCAUAAGUUUGUGGAUCUUACUUAAACAUUUUGUACUCUUUAACCAACAUGCUUCAUGUCUAGUAUUGAAGUUCUCAAAAUCUUUAAUUGUGAUGUUUUGCAACACUGUCACUACCUGGUGAUAGGUCUACGAUGUAGUCAAACUUGAUGCUUAUUAAAAAAAAAAAAGGUGAAACUGGAAAAGUUUUUGGGAAGUUUUGGAUAGAGAAAUUGCUGUCACGACAUUUUUUAACUUUUUACUAUAUGAUAUCAAUCAAGGUCUAAGAUCUAGUUUUUAUCUGAAAGUCUUGAACAGAUAUAAACUAUGGACAUUUUCCUUCUAUAAGAUAACGUCUUUAUUUAAUUCAAUAAAACGUAAUAUCUGUAAGCAAA
Long non-coding RNA from Limulus polyphemus (Atlantic horseshoe crab), 4179 nucleotides. RefSeq lists it as uncharacterized. The record is from RefSeq and is a predicted model, not a curated record. The transcript is spliced from 3 exons. Lineage: Eukaryota; Metazoa; Arthropoda; Merostomata; Xiphosura; Limulidae.